GAUUAGUGGCGACGGGUGAGUAACACGUGGGCAAUCUGCCCUUCACUCUGGGACAAGCCCUGGAAACGGGGUCUAAUACCGGAUAACACUCUGUCCCGCAUGGGACGGGGUUAAAAGCUCCGGCGGUGAAGGAUGAGCCCGCGGCCUAUCAGCUUGUUGGUGGGGUAAUGGCCUACCAAGGCGACGACGGGUAGCCGGCCUGAGAGGGCGACCGGCCACACUGGGACUGAGACACGGCCCAGACUCCUACGGGAGGCAGCAGUGGGGAAUAUUGCACAAUGGGCGAAAGCCUGAUGCAGCGACGCCGCGUGAGGGAUGACGGCCUUCGGGUUGUAAACCUCUUUCAGCAGGGAAGAAGCGAAAGUGACGGUACCUGCAGAAGAAGCGCCGGCUAACUACGUGCCAGCAGCCGCGGUAAUACGUAGGGCGCAAGCGUUGUCCGGAAUUAUUGGGCGUAAAGAGCUCGUAGGCGGCUUGUCACGUCGGAUGUGAAAGCCCGGGGCUUAACCCCGGGUCUGCAUUCGAUACGGGCUAGCUAGAGUGUGGUAGGGGAGAUCGGAAUUCCUGGUGUAGCGGUGAAAUGCGCAGAUAUCAGGAGGAACACCGGUGGCGAAGGCGGAUCUCUGGGCCAUUACUGACGCUGAGGAGCGAAAGCGUGGGGAGCGAACAGGAUUAGAUACCCUGGUAGUCCACGCCGUAAACGUUGGGAACUAUGUGUUGGCGACAUUCCACGUCGUCGGUGCCGCAGCUAACGCAUUAAGUUCCCCGCCCUGGGGGAGUACGGCCGCAAGGCUAAAACUCA
Molecule: ribosomal RNA, 802 nt
Filed under: Streptomyces sp.
Lineage: Bacteria; Bacillati; Actinomycetota; Actinomycetes; Kitasatosporales; Streptomycetaceae
Description: bacterial SSU rRNA
Rfam family: Bacterial small subunit ribosomal RNA
Source: RNAcentral